Molecule: long non-coding RNA, 705 nt
Filed under: Homo sapiens (human)
Lineage: Eukaryota; Metazoa; Chordata; Mammalia; Primates; Hominidae
Description: LHRI_LNC1276.1
Source: RNAcentral
GCCUUACCCUCUCAAAGUGCUGGGAUUAUAGGUGUGAGCGACCGUGCCCAGCCUCAUUUUUUCUUUCAAUAUGGAAAAUUGGCUAAUCCACCUAAUACCUGCUCAUCUUCUAGUAUUCUAUCCUACCAUCUACCCUCAGAGUUAUUGAUGUACUCUUUCAUCAUGUGCUAUCAUGAUUUCUCCUUAGAUUAGAAAGUAAGCUUCAAAUGGGAGUGUGUCUUCAUAUUGUUCUGAAUUAACAGAUUUUGAUGCCCGCUGAUCAUGUGCAGAUGAUGGAAGCUCAUUUCCUUCCAUGAACCAGGAGCAUGCUCGCCUCUUCUUUUAAGUUGACCCACACAAUCUCUGAUGUCUUCUUUUUGGGAAAGGGUAAUGAGAUAAGGAUUAAGGACAUUUUCUUCUGGUCCAGUGUUAGAUACAGUUACCUUGAUAAUAAUGAAAAAAAAAUGAAUACCACCAAAACCUAACUAUGAUGUAAGGAUUCUGCUUCUGCCCCACAGGGGCUCUGAAAGAGUCUAGCCUGGAUCUUCUUUCCCAGAGGAAGUUUGACUUAUGACCAUAUUAGUAUGCUUUAUUCCUUGGUGUUUAAGGGAGUUGGGGCAGACAGGUUAGCUGGCUAAUGUCAUUACAAUUUAGUUUUUGUGACAAUCUGUUAAGAAGGGGGCUUAUUGCAUAAUCAAAAAAGAACAAUAAAAAAAUAAAAAUUUC